RNAcentral lists this transfer RNA (72 nucleotides) under Paludibacteraceae bacterium. RNAcentral's name for it is "tRNA-Arg". It matches the Rfam family "tRNA". Rfam says of the family: Transfer RNA (tRNA) molecules are approximately 80 nucleotides in length. Their secondary structure includes four short double-helical elements and three loops (D, anti-codon, and T loops). Lineage: Bacteria; Pseudomonadati; Bacteroidota; Bacteroidia; Bacteroidales; Paludibacteraceae. The record is from RNAcentral. RNAcentral also lists the same sequence under 1 other name.
GCCCUUGUAGUUCAACGGAUAGAAUAGCGGUUUCCUAAACCGUAGAUCUGAGUUCGAUUCUCAGCAGGGGUA